Molecule: ribosomal RNA, 386 nt
Filed under: uncultured bacterium
Lineage: Bacteria
Description: bacterial SSU rRNA
Rfam family: Bacterial small subunit ribosomal RNA
Source: RNAcentral
AUUGAACGCUGGCGGCAUGCCUUACACAUGCAAGUCGAACGGCAGCGGACCUUCGGGUGCCGGCGAGUGGCGAACGGGUGAGUAAAGUAUCGGAACGUACCUUUCAGUGGGGGAUAACUGUCCGAAAGGACAGCUAAUACCGCAUAUUCUGUGAGCAGGAAAGCAGGGGAUCGCAAGACCUUGCGCUGAUUGAGCGGCCGAUAUCAGAUUAGCUAGUUGGUGAGGUAAAGGCUCACCAAGGCGACGAUCUGUAGCGGGUCUGAGAGGAUGAUCCGCCACACUGGAACUGAGACACGGUCCAGACUCCUACGGGAGGCAGCAGUGGGGAAUUUUGGACAAUGGGGGCAACCCUGAUCCAGCCAUGCCGCGUGAGUGAAGAAGGCCCU